AGCGAACGCUGGCGGCAUGCCUAACACAUGCAAGUCGAGCGCUCCCAGCAAUGGGGGAGCGGCGGACGGGUGAGUAACGCGUAGGAACGUAUCCUGAGGUGGGGGAUAACCCUGGGAAACUAGGGCUAAUACCGCAUGAUGGCGAGAGCCCAAAGAUUUAUCGCCUUGGGAGCGGCCUGCGUCUGAUUAGCUUGUUGGUGGGGUAACGGCCUACCAAGGCGAUGAUCAGUAGCUGGUCUGAGAGGAUGAUCAGCCACACUGGGACUGAGACACGGCCCAGACUCCUACGGGAGGCAGCAGUGGGGAAUAUUGGACAAUGGGCGAAAGCCUGAUCCAGCAAUGCCGCGUGGAUGAAGAAGGUCUUCGGAUUGUAAAGUCCUUUCGCGGGGACGAUGAUGACGGUACCCGCAGAAGAAGCCCGGCUAACUUCGUGCCAGCAGCCGCGGUAAGUCGUGUGACA
RNAcentral lists this ribosomal RNA (460 nucleotides) under uncultured bacterium. Its description in RNAcentral is "bacterial SSU rRNA". It matches the Rfam family "Bacterial small subunit ribosomal RNA", at positions 29 to 536 of the family's 1533-position model. The record is from RNAcentral.